This is a non-coding RNA of Xylaria arbuscula, 124 nucleotides long. Lineage: Eukaryota; Fungi; Ascomycota; Sordariomycetes; Xylariales; Xylariaceae. The record is from the annotation of a GenBank genome assembly.
GUACUCUUGGCCGAGUGGUUAUGGCGCCGCAUUUAAGUACAGUGCGGACAUGUUUCCGAGCAUGAUUCCGCACUAUAAAUCUGCGGUGGGGCAACCCGCGCGAGUUCGAACCUCGUAGAGUACA